CAUUUUUGUGCUACGAAUGUCAAAAUUUCAGGAUUUGUUAAGUAUUAGAGAGGAUGAAUUUAAUAGUUUUUUUUGUUUUUGUGUUUUAUUUUUGGGUUUUUAAU
Molecule: small RNA, 104 nt
Filed under: Arabidopsis thaliana (thale cress)
Lineage: Eukaryota; Viridiplantae; Streptophyta; Magnoliopsida; Brassicales; Brassicaceae
Description: ATSL283170
Source: RNAcentral